This 589-nucleotide ribosomal RNA is filed under the name uncultured ammonia-oxidizing bacterium. Its description in RNAcentral is "bacterial SSU rRNA". It matches the Rfam family "Bacterial small subunit ribosomal RNA", at positions 615 to 1204 of the family's 1533-position model. The record is from RNAcentral.
UGGGAAUUGCGUUUGAAACUGCAGAACUAGAGUGCGGCAGAGGGAGGUGGAAUUCCAUGUGUAGCAGUGAAAUGCGUAGAGAUAUGGAAGAACAUCGAUGGCGAAGGCAACCUCCUGGGCUAGCACUGACGCUCAUGCACGAAAGCGUGGGGAGCAAACAGGAUUAGAUACCCUGGUAGUCCACGCCCUAAACUAUGUCAACUAGUUGUCGGGUCUUAUUGGGCUUGGUAACGUAGCUAACGCGUGAAGUUGACCGCCUGGGGAGUACGGUCGCAAGAUUAAAACUCAAAGGAAUUGACGGGGACCCGCACAAGCGGUGGAUUAUGUGGGUUAAUUCGAUGCAACGCGAAAAACCUUACCUACCCUUGACAUGUCAGAAAGUUUCCAGAGAUGGAAUCGUGCUCGAAAGAGAAUUUGAACACAGGUGCUGCAUGGCUGUNGUCAGCUCGUGUCGUGAGAUGUUGGGUUAAGUCCCGCAACGAGCGCAACCCUUGUCAUUAAUUGCCAUCAUUUAGUUGGGCACUUUAAUGAGACUGCCGGUGAUAAACCGGAGGAAGGUGGGGAUGACGUCAAGUCCUCAUGGCCCUUA